Molecule: ribosomal RNA, 465 nt
Filed under: uncultured bacterium
Lineage: Bacteria
Description: partial 16S ribosomal RNA
Rfam family: Bacterial small subunit ribosomal RNA
Source: RNAcentral
CCUACGGGGGGCAGCAGUGGGGAAUAUUGCGCAAUGGGCGAAAGCCUGACGCAGCGACGCCGCGUGAGGGAUGACGGUCUUCGGAUCGUAAACCUCUGUCAGCAGGGAAGUACGGUCACUGUGCUAAUCAGCAGUGAAUUGACGGUACCUGCAAAGGAAGCACCGGCUAACUCCGUGCCAGCAGCCGCGGUAAUACGGAGGGUGCGAGCGUUAAUCGGAAUUACUGGGCGUAAAGGGCUCGUAGGCGGUAUGUCAAGUCAAGGGUGAAAUCCCCGCGCUCAACGUGGGAACUGCCUUUGAAACUGGCAGACUGGAGUGUGUGAGAGGAUAGUGGAAUUCCAGGUGUAGGAGUGAAAUCCGUAGAUAUCUGGAGGAACAUCAGUGGCGAAGGCGACUAUCUGGCACAUAACUGACGCUGAGGAGCGAAAGCGUGGGUAGCAAACAGGAUUAGAUACCCCAGUAGUC